AGCGAACGCUGGCGGCAGGCCUAACACAUGCAAGUCGAACGAACUCUUCGGAUUUAGUGGCGGACGGGUGGGUAACACGUGGGAACGUGCCUUUUGGUUCGGAAUAACUCAGGGAAACUUGUGCUAAUACCGAAUGUGCCCUUCGGGGGAAAGAUUUAUCGCCAUUAGAGCGGCCCGCGUCUGAUUAGCUAGUUGGUGAGGUAACGGCUCACCAAGGCGACGAUCAGUAGCUGGUCUGAGAGGAUGACCAGCCACACUGGGACUGAGACACGGCCCAGACUCCUACGGGAGGCAGCAGUUGGGAAUCUUGCGCAAUGGGCGAAAGCCUGACGCAGCCAUGCCGCGUGAAUGAUGAAGGUCUUAGGAUUGUAAAAUUCUUUCACCGGGGACGAUAAUGACGGUACCCGGAGAAGAAGCCCCGGCUAACUUCGUG
This 433-nucleotide ribosomal RNA is filed under the name uncultured bacterium. RNAcentral's name for it is "partial 16S ribosomal RNA". It matches the Rfam family "Bacterial small subunit ribosomal RNA", at positions 29 to 507 of the family's 1533-position model. The record is from RNAcentral.